RNAcentral lists this ribosomal RNA (274 nucleotides) under uncultured bacterium. Its description in RNAcentral is "partial 16S ribosomal RNA". It matches the Rfam family "Bacterial small subunit ribosomal RNA", at positions 523 to 796 of the family's 1533-position model. The record is from RNAcentral.
AGACGGAGGUGGCAAACGUUGCUCGGAAUUACUGGGCGUAAAGGGCGCGUAGGCGGAUUAUCAAGUCAGAGGUGAAAGGCCUGGGCUCAACCUGGGAACUGCCUUUGAAACUGAUAGUCUUGAGUCCGGAAGAGGAUGGCGGAAUUCCCAGUGUAGAGGUGAAAUUCGUAGAUAUUGGGAAGAACACCAGUGGCGAAGGCGGCCAUCUGGUCCGGUACUGACGCUGAGGCGCGAAAGCGUGGGGAGCAAACAGGAUUAGAAACCCGAGUAGUCC